GCGAUGUGUGUGCCGUCGGCCGGGGUACUGCGGAAGGGCCGGGGGUAAUCAGGAUUUGUUGGGUUUAAAGGGAGCGUAGGGCGGAGAUUAAGGGUGUUGGGAAAUGUAGACGCUCAACAGCUGCACUGUAGCGCGAACUGGUUUGCUUGAGUACGAACAAAGUGGGCGGAAUUCGGGGUGUAGCGGUGAAAUGCUUAGAUAUCACGAAGAACUCCGAUUGCGAAGGCAGCUCACUGGAGCGCAACUGACGCUGAAGCUCGAAAGUGCGGGUAUCGAACAGGAUUAGAUACCCUAGUAGUC
RNAcentral lists this ribosomal RNA (300 nucleotides) under uncultured Methanomassiliicoccus sp. RNAcentral describes it as "bacterial SSU rRNA". It matches the Rfam family "Bacterial small subunit ribosomal RNA", at positions 496 to 795 of the family's 1533-position model. The record is from RNAcentral. Lineage: Archaea; Methanobacteriati; Thermoplasmatota; Thermoplasmata; Methanomassiliicoccales; Methanomassiliicoccaceae.